CGCGGCCGGCCAGCCUCAGCCUACCUGGAGCUGGACUACAUUUCCCAGAGCCACCGCGUUCCGAACUCGGCUUCAUUUCCGUUUGCUCGCGCGAUUCGGGGGCCUUGCGUGGGGAGAGGGCUGCGUCUGUGGAGGAGCUUGGCCUGGCUUCCGCGGGGCGGGCGAACCCGAAACCGGGCGGAAACCCCGGGGACGAGAUCCUGGACCCUGAACUGCACCCUCUGUCGAGAGCCCAGAGGAAGAAUGGCUGUCAUACAAUCAAAAACAAGCUCCAGUGUGAGUAGAUGUUUCCUCUUUGUUUCCUGAAAUGCCUUUGUUUUUUUUCAGAACAUAGGAAUCUUUGCUUACUUUUUGAAAUU
RNAcentral lists this long non-coding RNA (359 nucleotides) under Camelus dromedarius (Arabian camel). RNAcentral's name for it is "lncRNA (ENSCDRG00005002121.1)". The record is from RNAcentral. Lineage: Eukaryota; Metazoa; Chordata; Mammalia; Artiodactyla; Camelidae.